Molecule: ribosomal RNA, 254 nt
Filed under: uncultured bacterium
Lineage: Bacteria
Description: partial 16S ribosomal RNA
Rfam family: Bacterial small subunit ribosomal RNA
Source: RNAcentral
UACGAAGGGGGCUAGCGUUGCUCGGAAUCACUGGGCGUAAAGGGUGCGUAGGCGGGUCUUUAAGUCAGGGGUGAAAUCCUGGAGCUCAACUCCAGAACUGCCUUUGAUACUGAGGAUCUUGAGUUCGGGAGAGGUGAGUGGAACUGCGAGUGUAGAGGUGAAAUUCGUAGAUAUUCGCAAGAACACCAGUGGCGAAGGCGGCUCACUGGCCCCGAUACUGACGCUGAGGCACGAAAGCGUGGGGAGCAAACAGG